Molecule: long non-coding RNA, 2006 nt
Organism: Mytilus californianus (California mussel)
Lineage: Eukaryota; Metazoa; Mollusca; Bivalvia; Mytilida; Mytilidae
Exons: 3
Source: RefSeq, a predicted model, not a curated record
AACUAUUAGGAUUUGCCUGCCUUUUUACAGGGACUUUCUAUACUAACUGUUAGUAUAGACUGCCCCUGGCUUGAAAGUAUGGUUCUCUGCUCAUCAACGGGUGCGUGAUUAGCAAAUCAAAUAUCUUGUAGCAGUAAAAUACCUCCGGGGGGGGGGGGAGGGGCACUUCAAUACUUAAUUGAUAGGGGGUGUCGCUGGGGUUCUGUUACCCCACCCUUUUCAUAUAAUUUAGAUCUUAAAAAUGUAUACCUUUUCAUAUAUUGCGUGGGUAAAAUUGUAACCUUUUCCCAUAUUGGUUGGUUUUCGUGGGGUGUGUUGGAAAAGUGGAAUAUUCAAGGCUAAGAUUCUGUAUGUAAUGUUUACUUACGGCGAGACUUUCGGCUGUGAAAAAAUGACAGGGCUUUUCAUAUACAAGUAAUUGGAACUUUAUCGACCUUAUCAUAUAUUUCUGAUAGUUUUCCCCACCUAUUCCCAUAUUUUCAAGCUGGAAAAAGUGACCUAUUCCAGCGGCACGUCCUAUCACCUUGUAUAUAGGAAGUGCCCCCCCCCCCCCACGAGUAAAAUACACAAAUGUAUAAUACCUUAAUUCAGGAGCACAGUCUGUCUUUACCGUAAAUAACUUCGAGAUUAAUAUGUAAGUUUACUUUGCUAAUCGAUGUUCCUGUAAUUCAGAUUUAAAUUUAUUUGUGAGACCCCCGUCACUAUUUAUAUUCACUCAAAGAAAGGGGUUCUCCGUUACUGGGAAAAUCCAAGGACGUAUUGUGUUAGUUAUACGUCCUUGGAAAAUCUUAUCUGAUUCAGGAUCAAUUUAUCGGUUACACUCCCCUAUCACCAGUGAUUCUUUGUGAACUGCAUUCUGAAAAAGGUAUACUGUUGACUAUCAAUUUGCAUGAUUAGUUACAGAUGUCGACUCGGACUACUGCAAAAGACAAUAAUUAAGUUCACUGAUUUAGAUUGAAUAGUGGUUCGGUUAAUCCCCUCUUCCCCAAACAAGGCAAGGACAUUAAAGAUAAAGGGAAACUAUAAACAAAAGAAAUUAUCAACAAAAAUAGAUUUACAGACGUCAACAAAGCCUAAAUUGUCAGACAUCUUGGUUUUCAUGAUCAUCAUUCAACAGUUCAAUACUGAACAGCAAACUUAAAGUUGAUAUUUUUCUACAUAGUGUGACUUUUUUAUUAAUUUGAAAUGGAAUGUGUUUUUUUCCUACAUAAGAAAGAGGAAAUUUCAACAUAAUGACUAUAAACAAAAAGGAGUCAUAUCAUCAUGAUCAUAGAUGCUCAAGAACUUAAUCAUGUAAAUGCAACAACGUAAUUAUCAAUUGAAAGAAGGGAGGAAUGAAAAAAUAUAUUAGUAUUUUGUUGUCCAAAUGAACUUGCUUUGUCCACUCAUUUAAAUCGCUCCAUCCAAUAAAGAUGUACGGAGGAAGAUUUUUGAAGAACAGAUUGCAAAAAUGUUUUGUCUAAGAAUUGUAGGAAUAUUCUAGUGGAUGAAAUAAUUUAUUUACUUGACUCUUAUAUAGUGGACUGAAUAAUUGUUCAUAGCAAGCUGAAACAAGAAAACUAAAACUUAACAGGAAAAGUGUUUAUUUUAUAAAUUUACAAAUAUAAAUGUAAUAUUAUGAACAGCACAAAGGAAUAAGAUUCAAAUCGUUUGCAUAUUCAUGUAUUGCAAUGGAACUAUAACAAAGAAAACUUUACCUCAUGAAAAGAGUAAACUAUUAACUGUGCUUUGUCAAUUUAUUCAGUCAGAAUAUGAAAUAUUUUUUUCAGUUCUAUUUUUCAUAAUAAAACAAAGAAGACAAAGAUUUCAAAUCAAUAUUUUUUUCUUUUAUUAAGACGUCAUCAUUUUAUUUCAGUUAAAGGAUUUUAUUUUUUUACUUUAAAUAUUAUUAUAUUUCCAAAAUAAUAAUAAUCUUUAUUGUCAUAUAAACAAAUUAAAAACAUGUUUGUGACAAAAUGAAAAAAAACCAAAAUACACUCAUAUAUAUAUUAUAAACUUUUUACUUC